UAAGCCCUGUGGGAAAGGGGUUAUUAAUACACCCCACUGUGCCCUGAUGGAAGAAUUAUCCCAGAUUUUCCUCCAUUUCUGUGAUGUGAUACUGGGAUAUGGAAACAGCUGAGGACUAGACAGAUUUUUCUGUGGGUUAAAGAAAGGAAGGCCCUAAAAAUGAAAUGUAGGCUGCAACUAUAAAUACGUACAGUGCAGCACAGAAACAUGUUUUGUCUCACUGUGCUUUGUGGGGAAAAAGUGGAUAGAUUUGCAAUAUGCUUCCCCCUCCCCCCAUAUUUCCUAACAUCCUAGCUUUUCAUAUUCUCAGGACAGGUCACUUAACUAAAACUAUAAGAUAGAAAUCCUGGUGCUGCAUGUCCCUUGAUCAGUUAUCCCAGGUUGUGCCACACUUCCAGGUGGCUGUAUGAUGAAAAUGCAGAUUCAAUUCAGAAAUAAAUAUUACACAUUGUGAACCAAUCUUAGUUGUUAGUUUUUUAAAAACUGACUGCUCUCUGUUAAGUGGCUGAAGUCUUCUGAGCAGCUUGGGAUAUGCUGCUUUUUAAUAUGCAUAAAUUGUGUUACAAAAUGUGUCUCAGGGCAGCCUCAAUGCUUCAAAGGACCUGCAGAAGGAAUUUGCCACCAUUGAAAAGAAGAAGGAAGAACUUGCUGAUUAUCUUUGUGAAGACCAAAAAAAAUUGUCUUUGGAAGAUGUAUUCAGCACAAUGAAAACCUUCAGAGAGAUCUUCCUCAAGACAUUACAGGAAAAUCAAGAAAGGAAGGAGCAAGCUGCAAAAUCUGAGAAAAGGAAGAAACAGUUUAAAGAAGAAGAUGCAAAGCGGCUAAAGGGAGAGUAUGGAGAGUGUAGUACAUUUAAGAAUUCUGUUUUUAUUAGCCAAUCUUUUGUUAAUUAGAAGGAAUUUAUCUGUUAACUCUGGCUGAUCUGAUACAAUGAAAGUGACUUAGCCAUGGAUGAUGUAGUUGUCAAGCAGAUGCAUAGUGAGACAUCAAUUACCAAAUUUCAAGUGCAAGUGAAUGCUUGGAAGAAAUCAUGAUAGGGAUAUUAGAACAAAAAUACCACUCCCAACGAGCAAGUUUCUUCUACUUCACUCAGAGGUGGAAGAUAGCCUGCUAUUCUCCAUAAUAUCUGUUGGGAGACUUUUAGGGUUAUAGAAAUCUGGACACACUUGAACUUCAUGCAGCAUGGUAGGCAAAUUGUGUCCAGUGGUAAUUGUUACCACAACAUUUUCUUUCUUCUGAUCAGAGAUCUGAUUCCUUAAAGGAGUUAUGCCUGUGCUCAAAGAAGUGUGUGUGCUGAGUGAUGCAGAAAAGGACUUGCUGUGCUGGACCUCUCUGGGUGUGAAGCAUGUAUAGUGCUAAUAUUGGCAUGUGUAUAUUUUAAAUUUUUAUUUUGGCAAAUACUUGGGAUCCACUUUUAUUGAAGAUUUCUGCCAAUAACAUUUGGUUGCAAUUCUUGGUUGUUCAGAGUACCACCACAAAGAAGCCAUUAGUAAAUCUGAGUGGGGUUCAUGUAACUUGGAAGACUGUUUUUUCUUGUAUCUGGUGUCUAAACAUAUGGCCUUCUUUUAGUUCCUCUUUCAAGUUAUUCACUUUUAGAAAUACAUUUUUAAAAUACAUAAAAUCCAUUGAAAACUGACCAAAACAAAGUUUCCAAUGUUGUCUUGUCAAGUUCUACCACAAAUAUAUUUUACACACUUUGCAAUCAUAGCACACUUAAUGUAAAGCUACAGAUUAAAACAAGAAAAACCUUUCUGCUAUAAAUAGAAAAGAGUAACCUAGUAUAUGAUAAAAUAAAAUUAGGAAGCAACAUUUAUCA
Molecule: long non-coding RNA, 1816 nt
Organism: Parus major (Great Tit)
Lineage: Eukaryota; Metazoa; Chordata; Aves; Passeriformes; Paridae
Source: Ensembl